Molecule: long non-coding RNA, 1692 nt
Organism: Equus caballus (horse)
Lineage: Eukaryota; Metazoa; Chordata; Mammalia; Perissodactyla; Equidae
Source: Ensembl
CUUGGUCUCUGAGUCCCAUGGGGAUGAGAAUCUUUGGUUCUGCGGUCACUUCAGGAUGGGAGUGGAGAUCAGCUCAGAGACUGGGAGUACGUGGGCCAGUGGGUCACUGACCUUGCCUUGGCUGCUGUCAAGACCACUGAGGAUGGCACAGUUCAGAAACCAACAUGCUGGAAGCCAGCGAGCAUUGACCAGGAUUCCUCUCCGACAAGACCAAGGCCCCCGGUGACUUAGGUCACUUUCCAAGAGAAGUGUGAGGAAGAGAGUCAAGAAGUGAUUAUUGUCCCCAGGAACGACUGGGUUGGGUCCAUGAAUUAUACAAUAUUUGGCGACCAGAUGUCAUUGAGGGUUUUUUUAAAGAAGUUUUCAUAGAAGAGAUGGAAGAUUGGCAAAAACCAUAGAAAAUGGCGACUGAAAAGUUGUGUGCUGAUCGAUGGAAAAAAGGAAAGGGCAACAAGUGGAGGAGAGUCAAGACUGCAAUGAGAAUAAAAGAAACGGGGAAAUAGAAACACACGACAACAAUGCCUAAGAGAGCGACAGAGGAAACAUUGAGAAGAAAACAGAUAAGGGAGAAAUACUGCACAGAGAAUGCUACACCAGAAAUUAGCAAGAUCCGUGGAGGCAGGAAGAAAAUAAAGAAGAAAGAUAGAGGUUAUAUGGUCCCAUGUAACAGGAGCCCCCGAUUUCUAUGCUUCCUGGGAUUGUGUUAGAGGUAGGGAGCUAUUCCAUGGCUCCAUAAUUCCCCUCGAGAAACAAGGCAUUUCAAAGUUUCCCAAACCUAGUGUGUACUGGACUGUGAGAGCUAGUUGUUAAAUUUUCAGGAAUUCCGUGAGCUAGCUGUUAAACUGGUUAUUUUAAAAAAAAUAAUAACACUAUAUAAGCUUAAAAUUAAAUAAAUUAUAUUAAAAACACAUAAUAGAUACUAAAAACUCAUCAGGUUCUAAUUAUUUUGGAAUAUUUUACUAUCGAUGUAUCUGCAUCUAUCGUGUGGAAAUAUUAUGCAACGGUGUGUUACUACAUAUCCUUUCGUAACACUGCCUUCAAGUGACUUCAUAUUGGAGGAUUGAAAUCAGCCACAGUGGGAGUAUCUACACCAUAGAGAUCAGCAAUUACUACAAAUUGAGGCUUAACAUAUUGUUUUAUUGAUUGUCUAGAUGUAACAACAUGGUGGAGAAAAUAAUACUGUAGAUUAAACUUAAAAGUGUAUUGUGUCCGUAGCUGUUACAUUGUGUGUAACCCAAGAAAUUGAGGAAAUAGUCUUCCAAUAUUCAAAAACUAUUAUCCAAUUCAUCAAAAAAACGGCUUACAUCAUUGACGAAUGAGUGAUGUUCCAGCAUGUCUUUGUUAUUUCAUUUUUGUCUUAGUCAUGAAAAUAUCAACCAACAUUCAUCUCAGAACUAUACUUGUUCAUCAAUUGCAACUGUUACUGGCUGCGGAUAUAAGAGUUUGCACAAGUCAGUUGAAAUCAUUCUAUAAAAAUCAAUAACCUAUGUGGAAUUUAAAAUAAAAAGUGUCAUAUAUUUAUUAUUUGUAAAUUCCGUGACUCACAUCCUUUGUAUCAGUAAAGUUUAAUAAACUUACAUAAAAUAUUCACAUACAGAAUCUUUUGUACUUGUUGGAGAGCCAGUUGUUAAUCAUUUAUCAGCACACCCCUGGGUGGUUUGGUCACUAACCACUGCCUCACGUGGCAAUGAU